Asterias rubens (European starfish) is the source of this 1363-nucleotide long non-coding RNA. RefSeq lists it as uncharacterized. Lineage: Eukaryota; Metazoa; Echinodermata; Asteroidea; Forcipulatida; Asteriidae. The record is from RefSeq and is a predicted model, not a curated record. The transcript has 2 exons.
ACUUAUAAUAGUUGUUAUGCAGUAACGCCAUGUGUAUACCUACUUGCUGGUUAGGUUAUGUUCUUUUGAGAACGAGUUUUUCUAUAUCUUUUCUAAGAUUUGGAUCUAAGUUUCAGACUGUUUUGUCAGCAAUGACUCUCACCUCUGUAACUUUCUUGGGGAUUCUAAGCCACUGAGUGAGAACAAAGUUUUUUUGAUAGAUCAGGACCCAAUUUCAUAGAGCUGCUAAGCACAAAAAUUUGCUUAGCAUUGAAAUUCUUGGCUUGACAAAAACAACAUAACCAAUCAAAUUUUCGCGUGAUUUUCAGGAUAAGCAAGCAACAGCUGAAAACCAGUAACAAGCAAUAUGCAACAAAUGGAAAUUCGGUUGGUAAUCCUAUUUUGAUCAAGGAAGAAAUUUCAUGCUAAGCAUUUCUAUGAAACUGUGCCCUGGUCACCACUAAGUUGCCUGUACAAAAUGCCACGUGUGACAAUAUCCAAAUAUAUAUACCUUUAUUAUAUGUUAUUAUAUGUAUGUAGAAUCACUCUGAAUAGUUUGAAACUGAAAGAUAUGGUUUUGUUAUUUGUUAUGAGAUGACCUGACAAAAGUUGAUGUCAGAAGUUGUUGUUCCUCACAAAUGUCCCCAAAUGGGGACCACUAUGCCCUAAAUGGUGUGGACCAAACUGGGCAACAAGUUUUGCCUAGUUGGGAUUGUUUUUCGAUAUAGUGAUCACUGAUGUCCUGACUGGGAUAAGAGGUGUUCCAAACUGGGCAACAAGUUUUGCCCAGUUUCAAACUGGGUAACAGUUGUACCUAGUUGUGAUUGUUUGGGAUUUAUGGGGACCACAGUUGCCCUGAAUGGGAUAAGAGGUGUUCCAAACUGGGCAACAAGUUUUGCCCAGUUUCAAACUGGGUAACAGUUGUACCUAGUUGUGAUUGUUUGGGAUUUAUGGGGACCACAGUUGCCCUGAAUGGGAUAAGAGGUGUUCCAAACUGGGCAACAAGUUUUGCCCAGUUUCAAACUGGGUAACAGUUGUACCUAGUUGUGAUUGUCUUGGAUAUUGGGGGACCACAGUUGCCCUGAAUGGGAUAAGAGGUUCCAAACUGGGCAACAGUUGUACCUAGUUGUGAUUGUUUGGGGACCACAGUUGCCCUGAAUGAGAUAAGAGUUGUUCCAAACUGGGCAACAGUUGUACCUAUAAUCUUAGAUAUAGAUUUUUUGGGAUAUUGUGGGACAACUGAGGGUUCCAAUCUGGGCAAUAGUUUUUUCCCAAUUAGGGAUAGUUCUGAAUACAAAUUUAGUGUAAUCCAACUAUGAUGCAUUUGUGCACUGAUUUAGUAGAUGGACCCUUAUAUUAUAUUAAACUUAUGUUCAGUCUUUCA